GCCUUUGUGGUGUAGCGGUCAGCACGCUGGGCGCAUAUUCCAGAGGUCCGUGGUUCGAGUCCCAGCGAAGGCG
RNAcentral lists this transfer RNA (73 nucleotides) under Stegodyphus mimosarum. It matches the Rfam family "tRNA". Rfam says of the family: Transfer RNA (tRNA) molecules are approximately 80 nucleotides in length. The record is from Rfam by way of RNAcentral. Lineage: Eukaryota; Metazoa; Arthropoda; Arachnida; Araneae; Eresidae.